Molecule: ribosomal RNA, 141 nt
Filed under: Apicomplexa sp.
Lineage: Eukaryota; Apicomplexa
Description: partial small subunit ribosomal RNA
Rfam family: Eukaryotic small subunit ribosomal RNA
Source: RNAcentral
AGUUCGUGGAGUAAUCUGUCAGGUUAAUUCCGAUAACGAACGAGACCUUAUCUUACUAAUUGGAGAAACUGUACCAACAGUUAUCUUACAUUAGAAGGACUCUAUGUGUUUAAUAUAAGGAAGUUUGAGGCAAUAACAGGU